UCCCUUCGGCUCCCGGCUUCCCUUUCCUCCGCGGCCCCUGCGGGGGCUGGAGUGUCCGGGCCGAGCUCCGGGCACGCGUUGUGGACUUUGGACAGAUGCAGCGUCAGGAUGACUUGAAAGUCGGGCAUCCUUGGCCCUCCUGAAUAGAGGAAAUUAGUGGCAGGUGGACAGUCUGUAUGGAAUUUUCAGGUGCCUUCACCAGAGAAACCUGUCUCCAUCGGAACCUCAAAUGUCAAACCUUUACCAUACAUCCUUCAUCUUUUAGAGGACUAAGGUGACUUCAAUAGUUCUCCUCUUUUAAUGGACACCUAAGGAAGAGGUCCUAAGAGCAGCAGUCUUGAAUUCCAGCAGCGCCUGAUCACAGCCUCGGUCCUUCAUAGUGAAAUAGAAAUGGCUUCGCCUGGCCGGAGUGGCUUAGGACCGAAAGUUUGCUGGCUCAAUUCCUGAUCAGGAUUUUUUAUGUAAAUAUUCUUCAGGAUGUGUGGCACCAUAGAAUAUUGACAUUUGCUGUACAUUGACUAUGUUCCAGAACUGCUUAUAAACUCAUUCUGCACAUCUCUUAAUCUUCUCAACAGCCCCACAAAGUAACACAGUUAGUGGACCCAGGAACUAAUGUGGUGUUCAGCAAUUCUCCCCAAAGAUGGCAGUGGUUUAGGGCUUUCAUGUAUAGUGCUCCCAAGUCUUUACAACUAACUCUCAUAAAUAUCUACUUGUCUUU
This is a long non-coding RNA of Myotis davidii, 718 nucleotides long. RefSeq lists it as uncharacterized. NCBI's taxonomy places the organism in Eukaryota, Metazoa, Chordata, Mammalia, Chiroptera, Vespertilionidae. The transcript has 6 exons. The record is from RefSeq and is a predicted model, not a curated record.